Molecule: long non-coding RNA, 1838 nt
Filed under: Macaca fascicularis (crab-eating macaque)
Lineage: Eukaryota; Metazoa; Chordata; Mammalia; Primates; Cercopithecidae
Description: lncRNA (ENSMFAG00000056688.1)
Source: RNAcentral
GGGACAGGAAAGAAUGUCCAGUUCCAGUAUUGUUUAUCACAAGGACAGGAAAGUAUGUUGGUUUGAAUUCUCAGCCAUCAGGAAGACUUAUUUCUAAAGUUCUAAAAUUCACCCUCAAAUUUUUAGUAUAUAUUUUCUCUUUUUUGUCUACCACCCACUUUUCCUCAGCUUUGUUGUUUAAGUAGUCGAUAACCUCAUUUCCCAUCUUACUCACUAAAUAGGCUUCAGGUUCAGAUUUGAUCAGCAGGGGAUCUUAUUAUCUUCCUCUUUCCAGUGCCAUUAUCUACCACGAAAUUAGUUGACUAGCUAAUUUUAAGAGUCUAAUUGUUGGAAUGGACUAUGACGGUGAAUUAUUCCCAGGGUAAAGUGUUUCCUUUUCACUGUAUUCAUCAGUUCCCCUCAAGACACACCCUUGUUUUCUUUUUUUAAAGGACUGGUCCUUUGGCUAAUUUCCUGCACUGUUUAAUGUGUAUUGGCUGCUCCAAUUCUAUUCACUUCCAGACUUGCCUGCCAGUAUCUUUAUUCUGUGUUUAUGAUUCUGUUCUUGCUUGGGACCCUAUGUAUUUUGGUCUAGGGGAAAACUUCUAGGCACAUUUGCUUCCCUAUCUUUUCAGGAGUCCAUGGACUCAUUGGUUGAGGCUAUUGACUUGUUGACUAUGAAAAGUCUCCUCUAAGAUUCAACAACGGUAACACCUGAAAGAGGAGUAACAGCCAACUAUAUUUAUUUUUCAUAUAGGUGACAUCUAGAGAAAGAAGAGGUAAACAUGAAAGACACUACUUUUAAAAAUAGAAUGUUAGAACUGCUCUUAAAAUUCAAGGCCCUAAUUUUUGAGUUGAAAAACGGUUGAAACAAUGAUGUGAUGAAAUCUACUCAAGUUCUCUGAGAUGGUGAACACAAGGCCAGGUUAGAAUCCAGAUCUCAACUCAUAUCUCUCAGUUCAAAAGUGGCAAAAACUACUCAGUAGCAAACAAAAAUACUGACAUGGGAACCUUUCCCCCUUGCAUUGUCUAUGGACCCUCUCUUAGAAAACUUUGUUUUACAAGAAAGAGAAGGUUUAGUUCUUAUAGGUUCAAUUUAGUGCCAUCAAGGACCCUAGUGGGGUCCUAAAAAGGCAUCUAUUAGUGAUCUCCAUUAAGCUUUAGAGAUAUAUAAAACUCUUAAAACCGUAGGCAAAAUUGUGUAUAUAGGUGUAUGAGAGCAUUUUCUGGUGUAAAAGAACAUAACUAUUGGGAAAUUCUCAAAGCAUAAAGAUCCACUGUACCGGAACUUCACUUUGUGAAAGCUUACUUCAUCACUUUCCAGCUAUGUGAACCUGAGCAAAUUAACUUAACCUCCUCUUUUCUGAGUUUGCUCCUCUGUAAAUACAGAUGUGGCAGACACUGUGAUUUGUCUGUUCAACAUUUAUGCUCCCUUUUUCCUUUUUACUGAGCUCUAUUUUUUUCUGGGUAGCAGUGUGCUUGGUUACAAUAUGUACCUUUCUACAGAUCCUUGCAACUAGGCUUGGGGAUAUGACCAAAUUCUGGCCAAUGAGAUGUUAGUUGAAGUCACUGGGUUGGGCUUUUAGAAAAGUUACUAUUUUUCUCAUUAAAUAGAAGUAGAGUGAGGGGAGCAAAUUUAGUAGGCAUAAGUGUUUGGCCAACUCACCAUUUUCCUCUUUCUAGCUGGAACACAGAUGCAAUUGCUAUUUUGUAAACAUCAGAAUGAAAGCCAUGUGCUAAGAAUGACUGAAUCAGUGUUAGAGAAGAUGUGGUUCUUGAUACCUCCCCUGAGCCAUUACAAAAGUCCUAGACUGCCCGCCUCCUGAUUUAUGACAUUGUGAGAAAAAAAAAAAAAAAAA